Ictidomys tridecemlineatus (thirteen-lined ground squirrel) is the source of this 897-nucleotide non-coding RNA. The record is from RefSeq and is a predicted model, not a curated record. NCBI's taxonomy places the organism in Eukaryota, Metazoa, Chordata, Mammalia, Rodentia, Sciuridae.
GUGGGGGUGUCCAGGAUUUUUUGUCCUUCAUGAUAUGAAGAAGAAAAGAUCCCAGAAGCUUUUUGUUAACGUGGGCCAUGCAGACUGAUAUUUACAUGUUGAGAGAUGAAAAUCGAUUAAUUUAAUGAUGUACAAUGUAGUUUUCCCAGCAACUGGACAGGUUAUAAAUCUGUUUCUUUUAGAAAAUAUGGUAUUAGCAGUUCAAAACUAUAGGAUGACUCCCAUGGAAAUGAAUAUUAAAGUAAGUUGUCUUGGCUUGAAGUGUUGAGAACACCCAUCCUCAAGAAUGCAAUUGAGAUGAAAGAAUGACACAAACUGAAUUUCAAGGAUGAGAAGAGACAGUCAAACAGAAGAAGACGACAUCAAAAGUUCUUCUAAAUCAGAGCAAACUACUUAGGCUAACAGAAAGGCCAAGGUAACCUCUACAUUUUUGUAUUAUCCAAUCAAAUAAACAAGAUGGGAUUGAGUAGAAAAAGUCCACAUCAGAGGAGAAGGAAGUGAGCUGAGUCUUAAACAUGUACAAUUUGAAGCAUCAAGAUUUUCAAAUAUCUGAAGCUAUUGGAGAUGAAGGAAAAACAAUGUUUCUGAAGUCAUUGGCAGCGAUAGUUGAAUCCAUUGAGCAGAUGAAAUCUUAAAGUAGAAUACAGAAUGGGAUGAAGGAAACCAAAGACAGAACUUUGCCAUGUGAAAACAGAAGGAAGACAUUCUUAGGAAGGUGUCAAGGAAGGAAAAAUCAGAGACAAGUAAAAUCUGGAUAAUGAAGCAUCUUGGAGUUUCAUGAAGACUUAAUCACUUAUUUUCUUUAUGUGUAAUCUGUGAUUUAUAUAAUAAUAUGAACAGCAGCAAAAUGUGCAGGCAUAACCUUUGGUUAUCUUCUGCAUUGCCCCCUGCCCCAUG